This 178-nucleotide unclassified non-coding RNA is filed under the name Epicoccum sp. Wb1-ITS7. Its description in RNAcentral is "sequence contains 18S rRNA gene, ITS1 and 5.8S rRNA gene". The stretch from base 122 to 178 matches the Rfam family "5.8S ribosomal RNA", at positions 1 to 53 of the family's 154-position model. The record is from RNAcentral. Lineage: Eukaryota; Fungi; Ascomycota; Dothideomycetes; Pleosporales; Didymellaceae.
CUGCUACCUCUUACCCAUGUCUUUUGAGUACCUUCGUUUCCUCGGCGGGUAAGCACGCCGGUUGGACAACAUUCAAACCCUUUGCAGUUGCAAUCAGCGUCUGAAAAAACUUAAUAGUUACAACUUUCAACAACGGAUCUCUUGGUUCUAGCAUCGAUGAAGAACGCAGCACAAAAAA